This 442-nucleotide ribosomal RNA is filed under the name uncultured soil bacterium. Its description in RNAcentral is "bacterial SSU rRNA". It matches the Rfam family "Bacterial small subunit ribosomal RNA", at positions 26 to 518 of the family's 1533-position model. The record is from RNAcentral.
AGAACGAACGCUGGCGGCAGGCUUAACACAUGCAAGUCGAACGCCCCGCAAGGGGAGUGGCAGACGGGUGAGUAACGCGUGGGAAUCUACCCAACCCUUCGGAAUAGCUCCGGGAAACUGGAAUUAAUACCGAGUACGCCCUACGGGGGGAAAGAUUUAUCGGGGUUGGAUGAGCCCGCGUUGGAUUAGCUAGUUGGUGGGGUAAUGGCCUACCAAGGCGACGAUCCAUAGCUGGUCUGAGAGGAUGAUCAGCCACACUGGGACUGAGACACGGCCCAGACUCCUACGGGAGGCAGCAGUGGGGAAUAUUGGACAAUGGGCGCAAGCCUGAUCCAGCCAUGCCGCGUGAGUGAUGAAGGCCCUAGGGUUGUAAAGCUCUUUCAGUGGGAAGAUAAUGACGGUACCACGAGAAGAAGCCCCGCUAACUCGUGCCAGCAGCCGC